CCUCAAGCAAUCCUCCUACCUUGGCCUCCCAAAGUGCUGGGAUUACAGGCAUGAACCACUGCACCUGACCUUGUUUUUCCUAAGUGAGUUUGAGGAAUAUAUUUUCGUUCCUCUUUUAAUACCAUGAAGCUUUCAAGUUCAUAGCUCAUAAAAUGUUAUGUAGCAUUGAAUUGUUUAAUGAAAAUGAAAAUCAGAUUCGUUUUCAUUAUUAAUAAAAAUUUCAAUAGUAUUCACAUUUAGAUAAGAGAUGCACAGAAUUUUUGGUCUACUUUUAAAUUAAUAUUACAGUUCUUAAAGUGCCCUAGGUGAACCUGUUCUUUUGAAAUAGCAGAGAUUUUUUUUUUUAAAUAUGCUUUUGUGUUUAUUACCUAAAGGAGCUAUUCUGAAAUUUUUAUGCAGAAAAAUCCUCUUCUGCUCCAUCCACAGAAGAUUUUUUAUCCAUAGAUAUUUUUGCCAUCUCCUUUCUUCUCUUUCCUUUGUUAUAAAUGAUAGGAAAAGACUGCUUUUUUCAAAAAUUGUGUUUUUAAAUUGGUGAAUUUUGCCAUGCUUAACUGAGAUAUCCUCCUUUUGGGUAUAAACGUUUGUUAACUGUUAUAAAGAGCUUUCUAUAAUAGACACAGUAGACGGUACUUAAUUUUUUUCUCCCUUCUUGGUAGAUAUCUUUUGGUUAAAAGAAAAUGCGUCACUUGCCUCCUAUCAUAGAGGCUUGGUAUGAGCAGCCAGGGGUGCAGUCACCAGGGAAGGCCUUUGCCAGCGAGCCUUGCUCCGCCGUUAGCUGCUUCCGCUCUUCUUCUUCCAGCGAGCCUUGCUCCACCGUUAGCUGCCUCCGCUCUUCCUCUUUUCCAGAUGAGCAGAUGCUGACAGCCAAAAAGUAGACAGAAAAUAAGCGCGGAGAAUUCAGAUAUGGGGAAAAUAUUGUGGGAAAAAUAGAUGCUUUAUUUUUCUUCUUAAUAUUAUGGAGAAAGUAAAUAUCUUUGGGUAAAAUACAUGAUUUGUAGCCACUCUAGAAAACAGAUGUUUAAAAUCUGACAAAUAAUCUUCCUGUAAGUUAUUACUGCUCCAUGAUUUCAUACCGGGCAGCAUUUGUAAAUUAAUCCAAAUGAAAUUGUAUCUCCUUAUUUGAAUUUCCUGUACAUUCGAUAAAGACAAGAGAAUUAACAUGAUGCUAUUGAUUGUCAUAUCAUCACUUCUGGCCUUUUCUGAUAGCACUGUACAGCAAAACAAUUUAUCAAAAAAUAGUAUUUUGUUUUGUUUUGCUUUCUUAACCUGAGCUUGGACCUGCAUAGCAAUAUGUUGAUUUUUAAGGUAUGUUUUAUAAAUUUAAAAAAUGCUAUUUUAAAAUAAUUACUUUGAAGAGAUGGUAAUAUUUCUAGUGAGAAUAUUAAGGGACCACUGCUAUCAUGUAGUUUUUAAAUUAGAAGGCUCAAUUUCAGUUUUUAUUAGAAUAUUGUUUAGUAUCAAAUGACUAUUAAAAGUAUAUAGUGCAAUAAAAAGAAAGACGUGAAGGAAUGUAGAAACAUUAAAACAAAAUCGAACCUCCUUCAGUAGUAGUUAUGUCAGAUGUAAUUAAAAGAUGGGAUGUAAUUUGACUAUCAAGUACUUGAACCAGUGCUUUUAUUUGUAGUAUAUAUGUGUAUACAUGUUUUUGAUUACAGAUGUUAAACACAAAGUGAAACACUAUUGAUUUGAAGCACUGGCCAAUUUAAAAAUAAUUUAAAUGGUUACCCCAGAACCUUGUCAUAAUUUUUUUGGGGAUUUUUGUACAAUAUAUAGCCCUAGUUUCGUCUCCAACAUUCUCAACUUUAAGAAAGCAUUUGCAUUUCCUGUCCUCUCCUAACUGGGAGAAUAUGCAAAUGUUAUAAAAUAAAAUUCUCUUUUAGAAAUAGGUCCUAAAACAGUACUUUCCUGUAAUACAUUUACAAGGGUGAAAUACAAGUUCAGAGGAUUAAGAUCCUUUUAUUUGACAGUGUCUCUUUAAAUUUACAGAGAAAAUAGUGGCAGAUUUUCUAAUUCCUGGUCUUUGUUCUUACCUCUUCUACUGGAGGUUUUGGGGUCUGUGUCAGGAAACCUUACUAUUACUAAGGUAAUUUGUUAAGGCUUUUUGCUUGGGUGUACACCACUGGGAUUGAGAUGCUUUGUAUUUCCACUGCUCUGUGAAUUCAUUUUUUAUUCCCCCGGCUUCUGGGGGGAGAUAUAUUCAAACUAGGAUGUUUAAAUAGCAGUAAAACACACAUUUUUAUACCCUUUACAAAGAUCUGUUCCUUCCAUUUUCUUUCUCCUUCCAUUCCCCAAAUCCUUCUUUCUCAUAGAAAAAUUUCAAAAUAUAAGCAUUAAAUAUUUCAGCAUACAUUUUCUAAGAAUCAAGAAUGGUCUCUUACAUAACCAACACUAUUAUCGCACCCAAGAAUAUUAACAGGAAUUUAGUAAUAUCAUUUAAUAUACGAUUCAUAAUUGGAUUUCUCCAGUUGUCUGUAGCUAUCUUUUUGUAUUUUUUGCAGUUCAGGAUUAAUUUUUCAUUUGGUUAAAUUUGUAAUUUUUUCAAAUCUAAAAGAGUACCUCAUUCCUGUUUUUUGUUUUCUGUGACACUAAUUUAACUUUUCAUUUUGCAGUAAUUUCAGAUUUACAGAAUAGUUACAGAGAUAGUAUAAAUCAUUCUUAUGUAUACUUGCUUCCUCAAAUAUUAACAUAUUGUAGAACUGUACCACAAUUAUCAAAAGUAGACGGUUAAUACUGAUACGUUAUUACUAACUAAUCUGUAGACCUUCAAAUGCUGACACUUUUCUUACAAGUGUCCUUUUUCUGAUUCAAGACAGUUUAGGACUCCAUGUUGCAUUUAGUUGCUGCGUCUCCUUUGUCUCUUGUAUUUAAUCAAGGUAUAAAUUUGUAUUUAAUCACCUUGACAAUUUAGAAGAGUGUCAGUCUGUACUUUUAUGGAAUGUCUUUAUUUUUGAGUUUGCCUAAUGUUUCCUCAUGAAUAAAUUAAGAUUAUUCAUUUUUGGCAAUAAUUGCACAGAAGUGAUGCUGGGUUCUACUCAGGGCAUCCUAUUGGGGUUGCAUGAUGUCUAUGUGUCUCAUGAUUGGUGGUGCUAACUUUUCUUUUAACCUGAAACAUCUUACUCACCAAUUUUUUUAAGGGAUUAAGUAUUUUAUUUUUCUAACUGACAAGUACAAAUUCUGUGUAUAGUGUUUUCACAUAUAUCUACACACACACCUUGUGAAGUGAUUAAAUUAAGCUAAUUAGCAUGUAUUACAUCAUAUACUCAUUUGUGUGUGUGUAUAUAUGAGGUGAGAACACAUAAGAUCUACUCUCAGCAGUGUUCAGGUAUAUAAUGUGUUAUCAUUACCUGUGGUCACUAUGACAUACAGUAGAUCUUUUGAACUUACUCCUCAUCUCAAAAUUUUGUGUACUUUGGCUAAGAUCUCCUCAGUGCAGGCAAUUGUCUUACUGAGGCUUGCUCAUUCUAGAUUUAACUUAAUAUUUCCUCAUGGUUAGGCUUAGGUUAAGACAUUUUGCCAAGAACAUUACAUUGUCAAUACUGCGUGUUUCAUGUUGUGUUUAUUAUAUGAUUCCCAGUAUUAGGUCAUCCCACUUUGGGUGAUGAUAUCUUUGAUCAUUUGGUUGGGGUAGUGACAAAUGUGGGCAUAUUUUUAGGAUUAUCUUAGAAACUUUUCAGGAAAAGAACCUAUAGUAAUUACUGUUGGCUGACUAUUUCCAAAUUUAAAAAGAAAGGAAGAAGGAAAAUUAGAGCACAGAGGUUUCAUGGAACCAGAAAAAGAGACCGACUCCAGUUUUGUCUUUUUCCCCUCCCUGGGUGAGGGGUCUGGGGCGUUACUCUUCAUCAUUGUUGGCUAUGUUCAGCAGUAAGGCAGUCUUUGGCACGUUUUGCUGGAAUUCGAUUUUAAAUCCUGUGAGUGUGCGUAGUCCUGAGCACAGCAGUGAUUUUGAAAGGCUUUGUUUAUAACCUUUGUUGAGAUCCUUUUAGAAGUUCCGUCAGAAUCUGAGCUUAUUCUUUUAAAUAUCCUCAGCAGUGACUCAUUUUUAUGAAGGUAAAUUUGAUUUUCAUAAAUAUCAAAAGAUCAUUCUGUGCCAAAUAUGAUUAAUAAGGUCAUACUAUUUCAGGAAGAACAAAAGCAUAACAAAAGUAAGAACGAUUUUUUAUUUAAAGAUGCUUAUAUAAUGUUGACGUUUUACUGAUGUGAAGAAAGAACAGCGUAGUUGGGUUUAGUGUAGCAGUUCCCCAGGUGACUUCCUUAAAGCUGUCACUCAUUCAGCCCUCUGAGGUCUAGUGUGUUUAUUAACAUAUGAGUAUUAUCAACAUACCUUGCGUAUACACAAGCACACACUACAAAGUCUCAUCUUUUUAUACAUUAAAGUGUAAUUCACUGAUUCGUUCUUUUUGUGUAAUUAGGGUGGUUUGGGAGUUACCUGCCGACUUUGUACUGUGUACAGGCCGUUUUGUUAGUUGCUGUGGAGUAAACAGGUUUAUGUAGGACUCGGUAAUGCUCCCCUGGAAUUGAUCAUCUAAAAUCUGUCAGGAGGUGAAACGUGUACAAACAUCAUAACUGCCCUUUAUGAUACUGUUGUUGUAGUCAGACAGGGAUAAAGCGGUAUAAAGCUGGGAGUCAUGAGUUCAGAAAAACAAUGUGGCUUCUGUCAGCCAUCACCAAGAUUUAAUAGAUGACGAGUCCUACAAGGUGGGUCCCUGGCUACUUCUCUGACCUCAGCUCCUGCCACUGCUCCCCUUGCUCACGUACCGUUUUCUAGGCAUAUUGACUCACUUGUCUUAGCAGACAUUUGUUGAGUCAUGCACUGGUGUAACACUGGGGAUACAGCCUGAACAAGCAGAGGAAGAUUCCUGCCACCAAGCAGUUACCUUCUAGCACAGGGACAGUAGAUGUGGCAAAUUAUAAAUUGUGUAUUACGGCAGAAGUGGAAGGCGCUAUAGAAAAAAAAAUAGGGGAAGGGGUGCAAGGAGAGUGUGGGUUUGUAGUUUAAAACCAAGAGGUCAGAGCAAACCCCAUUUAGAAGGUAACAUUGAAAUAAAGACUUAAGGGAGUUGAGGAAACUAAUCAUACAGAUAUGAGGAAGAGCAUUCAGUCAAAAGUAUCAACUAGUAAAGAGGCCUUAGAUGGGAGUGUGCUUGGAAUAUUCACCACAUCACCACAACCAUAGCAGAGAGGAGGAGGAGGAGGAGAGUGAUAGGAGAUACUGUCAGAGAAGCAAUAGGGGAGUCAGAUCUAGAGGUCUUAUAGCCACUGUCAGGACUUUAACUUUUACCCUGAGUGAGAAGGGGGCUCACCGUAGGUUUUUCAGCAGAGGUGUGACGUGCUGUGACAUGCACUUAGAUAUUUGAAGGUUCAUUGGCAUCACUGUGUUAGGAGCAGACGAUAGUAGGGCCAGGUUAGAAGCAAGAAGCCUAUUCCUGCCAGGAGCCUGUUGCUGUAGUUGAAGUGGAGGGUGAUAGGGGCCUUGACUGGGACGGGAAUGGUGAAAGUAGUGGGGUGUGGCUUAGAUUCUGGUAUCUUUUGAAGAUGGAGCCAAGAGAAUCUCUCGACAGACUAGAUGGGGAGCAUAAAAGAAACAGAUGUAAAUAAAGAAUGACUCCAAGGAUUCUGGCUGCAGUAACUGAAAAGAGGUUGCCUUGUACUGAGACAUGGAAAGCUAUUCAAAAAGCAAGUCGGGAAGUGGCAAUCAAGAAUAUUGUUUUGGACAUGUUUGCUUCAAAAUGAUCAUUAAAUAUCAAGUACACUUUUAAGUAAACUGUUACACAGAUGUAGAGUUUUUGAGAGCAGCCUGGGCUGAAAAUAAAAAACCAUGGAAUUCAUUUUUUUUCCUGCCAUCCAGUGGCCUGUUCUAAAGGCAUCCUGAAACACAGAAAUGGACAUUCGUACAGACAGAGAGGACUCCGGGAGAGUAACUCCAACAAACAAAAAUCUUAGGAUUAAAAAAUAAAAUUGCUAAAAUAAAAAAACAAACUGGUUGGACUGAAUUGCAGAAUAAAGAUGAACAAAAGAGAGAGUGAGUGAAUCUGAAGAUAGAGCAAUAGAAAUUAUUAUUCAGUCUGAACAACAGAGAAAAAAUCAUUGUGUGAAAUAAAUGAACUGAACCGCAGGAACCUGUGGGAUAAAACUGAAAGGUUUAACAUUUGUGUCUCAAGUGUUCCAGAAGGAGAGGAGAAAGUGUGUUUCAGGAAAAAAAAAAAAAAAAAAAAAAACGAAGAAAUAAUGGUUGAAAACUUUCCUAAUUUGGUGAAAGAUAUAAGGAUUUAAGAAGCUAAGUGAACCUAAACAAGCCCGGAGAAAUCCAUGAUCAGACACGUCAUAAAUAAACUGCCUAAAAUUCAAGACUUUUUAAAAAAUCCUGAAAGAGGAAAAUGCACAGGCAAUUCAAUGGGGAAAGUGUGGUCUAGGAAAAAUUGUACUUCCAUGUGCAAAAAAGUAAUAAAAAAGAACUUUGAUGUAAACCUCACAAUUUGUGCAAAAAUUAGCUCAAAAUAGAUCAUAAAUGUAAGACUAAGUUUUUGAAGCUCCUCUGUCUUGUUCUCCAGAGUGUAAGACUAAGGGUCCUAGCCCACUGAUAAGUCCUCAGUGCGUAUAUUUGAAUGCGUGAAUCACUGCUCCUGGAGAAAAGAGAAUGAGAUAAACUUCAAAGGGUAGUUAUACAGAAUAGAUUGGAGAAUUAAUACUAUAAGAAUAUGUUAUUUACUUUAACUGCCUUUUUUUCAUUAAAAUUAGCUUUAUUGCUUUAUGUGUUCAAAUUAUGUAAGUAAUGAAAUCUAAUUAAUUGGUGAUUUUGAUUAUGAGUAUUUUAAUUUCCUCCUUAUAACCUCAAAUUUUAUGUCAGUGUUUACUGCUCUUAUUUUUAAAAAUCGCUAAUAACUUACUCUCUUAAAAAAACAGGUUAUUCAUUUUAUGAGUGGCAGGUUACUUUCUUAUUAUUCAGCUGUAAUCAAGGUGGUCUUAUUUACAUUUUAAUAUUCUAUAGUGUUUAUUUUAUGUAUCAAGUUAAAUAAAUGGUCUCAAGAAUCACUUUAAGCAGUCUAGAAAGCAGAUGUUCAAAGACCUACCUUUUUUUCAGAGUCAUUAAAUAUGUAGAAAGUUAAUCAAGGAAGGUAAAUUAGUUCUGCCUAUAAAUUAAGAAGAGCGGCAGUUCAUUUCCCUUAUCUUUUAAAAAUAAAACUGACUUCACUUUUUA
Macaca mulatta (Rhesus monkey) is the source of this 7195-nucleotide non-coding RNA. The record is from RefSeq and is a predicted model, not a curated record. Lineage: Eukaryota; Metazoa; Chordata; Mammalia; Primates; Cercopithecidae.